Long non-coding RNA from Equus quagga, 1016 nucleotides. RefSeq lists it as uncharacterized. The record is from RefSeq and is a predicted model, not a curated record. The transcript is spliced from 3 exons. Lineage: Eukaryota; Metazoa; Chordata; Mammalia; Perissodactyla; Equidae.
AGAGGAUUUCAACCAGAGAGCUGAAAGUUCAAGGAACUGAAAGAAUCUGGGUGUGGACGCUUAAAGUGUGGAGCCUAAAGGGAAGAAGGUGGAGAUUGUCACAGAGCAGAGACCGCUUGGACCAAACUCUUCUUGGAACCAAAGCAACAAGUCUUCAAAGAAGACACUACACUCUUCAGCCUCGGAUUGUCAUCUGGGGAUGUUUGGAGGAGAAAACAGAAAGAAAACACAAACUAAGAAGAAUGGAGGUUAGACUGGAUUAAAGUUGUUCACGGAAGAGCUGCAGCCCUUUCCACCUCUCUUCCUUCAGUUUGAAGCCCAAUCACUGGAAAAAUACAUCAACAACUGCUGGCAGCUGCCGACUCACGCCCUGCCCAAAUUGCAAUUCAUGUCUUCAAACUGUCUUUGUUUACACCACAGAAAUUCAAUUAGAGCAGGUAAUACACAUGAGCAGCAUUCCCAAUGGACCCACAGUCAUCAAUGAUUUCCUGUCUGUUCCAUGUUAAGUUUGGCUCAAAAUUUUGGACCAAAUAUCACACAACUACAAUGACUUGGGGUGGCUCGUCAAUGAUGGCAGAGGUGUGUGGCAAGGCUUGUUUUCUAGAAUCAGGAUGACUGCCGGCUGCCAGUCUGGUAGAAUGCACUGCAGGGAUAUUUGCUUAGAUUAUUUUGUUUUAAAAUUAUUAACAUAAAUACAUUUCAGAGAGCCACGAACCAAACAUUAAACUCACUUCUAUCACUUUAAAUUCUAUUUCUGACUUUAUUCAAUUUACUAAAACCUGGGGUGCCCGACUGCUUGGUCCCCAAUCCUGUCUCUUUUUUAUCUACAUUCUCUCCCUACAGGAUCUUAUUCAAUCCCAUUGUUUAAAUAUCAUCUCUGUGCUGAUGACUCAUGCCUUCAUGUCUCCAGGUGUGCCAUCUCCUGGGAGCUCCAAACUCUCAUCUGCCUGCUUGACAUCUCCGUUGGGUCUACAUUUAUAGUCAUCUUAGAAAAAAUGGCCCAAACAGAUCUCUCU